CAGCAGCCGCGGGAAAACGUAGGUGGCAAGCGUUGUCCGGAAUUAUUGGGCGUAAAGCGUGCGCAGGCGGUUAUGUAAGACAGGUGUGAAAUCCCCGGGCUUAACCUGGGAACUGCGCUUGUGACUGCACAGCUAGAGUAUGGCAGAGGGGGGUGGAAUUCCACGUGUAGCAGUGAAAUGCGUAGAGAUGUGGAGGAACACCGAUGGCGAAGGCAGCCCCCUGGGCCAAUACUGACGCUCAUGCACGAAAGCGUGGGGAGCAAACAGGAUUAGAUACCCGCGUAGUCCCUGUCUCUUAUAC
Molecule: ribosomal RNA, 301 nt
Filed under: uncultured bacterium
Lineage: Bacteria
Description: partial 16S ribosomal RNA
Rfam family: Bacterial small subunit ribosomal RNA
Source: RNAcentral